RNAcentral lists this ribosomal RNA (253 nucleotides) under uncultured bacterium. Its description in RNAcentral is "partial 16S ribosomal RNA". It matches the Rfam family "Bacterial small subunit ribosomal RNA", at positions 524 to 776 of the family's 1533-position model. The record is from RNAcentral.
UACGAAGGGGGCUAGCGUUGCUCGGAAUCACUGGGCGUAAAGGGUGCGUAGGCGGGUCUUUAAGUCAGGGGUGAAAUCCUGGAGCUCAACUCCAGAACUGCCUUUGAUACUGAAGAUCUUGAGUUCGGGAGAGGUGAGUGGAACUGCGAGUGUAGAGGUGAAAUGCGUAGAUAUUGGGAGGAACACCAGUGGCGAAGGCGGCUCACUGGACCGGUACUGACGCUGAUGCGCGAAAGCGUGGGGAGCAAACGGG